This 215-nucleotide RNase P RNA is filed under the name Pirellulaceae bacterium. Its description in RNAcentral is "partial RNase P RNA component class A". It matches the Rfam family "Bacterial RNase P class A", at positions 1 to 206 of the family's 367-position model. From Rfam's summary of the family: Ribonuclease P (RNase P) is a ubiquitous endoribonuclease, found in archaea, bacteria and eukarya as well as chloroplasts and mitochondria. Its best characterised activity is the generation of mature 5'-ends of tRNAs by cleaving the 5'-leader elements of precursor-tRNAs. Lineage: Bacteria; Pseudomonadati; Planctomycetota; Planctomycetia; Pirellulales; Pirellulaceae. The record is from RNAcentral.
AACCCCGUUCGGGCGAUCGUCGGCCAAUGGUCGGAGGAAAGUCCGGGCUCCACAGGGCAGGGUGAUGGGUAACGCCCACCGUUUCCUUCGGGAAAUAGGGAAAGUGCCACAGAAACGAUACCGCCGGCUGGCCGGGCUUUGCCCCGGCAACGGUAAGGGUGAAAAGCGUGAGGUAAGAGCUCACGGCAAGGCCAGGAAACUGGCGUUGAUUCAGG